This 253-nucleotide ribosomal RNA is filed under the name uncultured bacterium. RNAcentral's name for it is "partial 16S ribosomal RNA". It matches the Rfam family "Bacterial small subunit ribosomal RNA", at positions 524 to 776 of the family's 1533-position model. The record is from RNAcentral.
UACGUAGGGUGCGAGCGUUAAUCGGAAUUACUGGGCGUAAAGCGUGCGUAGGCGGUUCGCUGUGUCCGAUGUGAAAGCCCCGGGCUUAACCUGGGAAUGGCAUUGGAAACUGGCGGGCUUGAGUGCGGCAGAGGGGGGUGGAAUUCCGCGUGUAGCAGUGAAAUGCGUAGAGAUGCGGAGGAACACCGAUGGCGAAGGCAGCCCCCUGGGUCGACACUGACGCUCAGGCACGAGAGCGUGGGGAGCAAACAGG